UGUAAACGAUGCCGACAGAGGUUUGUCAUUUUAUAAUGGCAGAACUUUUAGAGAAAUCAUAGUUCUUGGGCUCUGGGGGAACUACGACCGCAAGGCUGAAACUUGAAGGAAUUGACGGAAGGGCACACCAGGGGUGGAGCCUGUGGCUUAAUUUGAAUCAACACGGGGAAACUUACCAGGACCAGAUGUUUUUUAUGACUGACAGGCUUCGGGUCUUUCAGGAUAUUGCUUUUGGUGGUGCAUGGCCGUUGGUGGUGCGUGGGUUGACCUGUCUAGCGUUGAUUCAGCUAACGAGCGAGAUUAUCGCCAAUUAUAUACCUCGCAUUGGCUUCAGUGUUG
This 339-nucleotide ribosomal RNA is filed under the name Pentatrichomonas hominis. RNAcentral's name for it is "SSU rRNA". It matches the Rfam family "Eukaryotic small subunit ribosomal RNA", at positions 1031 to 1379 of the family's 1831-position model. Lineage: Eukaryota; Parabasalia; Trichomonadida; Trichomonadidae. The record is from RNAcentral.